Molecule: unclassified non-coding RNA, 482 nt
Filed under: Hevea brasiliensis (rubber tree)
Lineage: Eukaryota; Viridiplantae; Streptophyta; Magnoliopsida; Malpighiales; Euphorbiaceae
Source: RNAcentral
CACUUAUUUCUUCAGCAUCAGAAACCAGGACGAAAUUAUUGUCUUCAGAAAACCCUUACUGUCUGGAGAUUGACUUUCGAUUGCUGUGACUGUCUGGAGAUUGACUUUCUAUUGCUGUGGUUCUGCGGUACGGGUACCCAAAACAAAUCAGCAGGAAAAGCUAACGUGGGGGAUUCGAGAGCUUUUCAAUGAGUUCAAGCCUGAAGGGAAACAGAUGCGUCUGUAACCUUUUCCCAAUUCGAGGUAACAAACAAAUCAGAAAGAAUAAUUCUCACAAAAACCCUCGAUCUUUUACUCUUGUUUCUGUGAUUCUUCCCUUUUCUCUCUAUCCAGUCGUCUAUCGGUGAGAAAUAUUCAGAGAUCCCAUGAGAGAGAGAGGAUGAGAUGGUUAAAGUGCUCAGAAAGAGGAGGUUGAAGAGAGUGAAGACAAAGAUGGAGUCUUUGAAGAGAAAUGGACUGUGGAGACCCCAAACCAACAAAAG